RNAcentral lists this ribosomal RNA (205 nucleotides) under uncultured bacterium. RNAcentral's name for it is "partial 16S ribosomal RNA". It matches the Rfam family "Bacterial small subunit ribosomal RNA", at positions 1298 to 1500 of the family's 1533-position model. The record is from RNAcentral.
UUGCAGUCUGCAACUCGACUACAUGAAGCUGGAAUCGCUAGUAAUCGCAGAUCAGAAUGCUGCGGUGAAUACGUUCCCGGGUCUUGUACACACCGCCCGUCACACCAUGGGAGGUCGGAAAUGCCCGAAGCCGGUGACCAAACCAAUAAGGAAGGAGCCGUCGAAGGCAGGUCUGAUAACUGGGGUGAAGUCGUAACAAGGUAUC